GCAGGGNCAGCCUGAAUCAGCCAUGCCGCGUGCAGGAUGAAGGCCUUCGGGUUGUAAACUGCUUUUGUACGGNANGAAANGGCCAUUUUCUAAUAAAGAGGGCUAAUGACGGUACCGCUNAGAAUAAGCACCGGNUAACUACGUGCCAGCAGCCGCGGUAAUACGAA
RNAcentral lists this ribosomal RNA (167 nucleotides) under uncultured beta proteobacterium. RNAcentral's name for it is "partial 16S ribosomal RNA". It matches the Rfam family "Bacterial small subunit ribosomal RNA", at positions 371 to 529 of the family's 1533-position model. The record is from RNAcentral. Lineage: Bacteria; Pseudomonadati; Pseudomonadota; Betaproteobacteria.